CGGAGGCGCGCGUUGGGGAUUGAUUUACCGAUUUUCUCCUCAGACAAGUGUUACUGUUUUGUGGUCGAUUCUGGGAUCCUUUUCUUGGUGUGUCUUGAUGUUUUCUGUUGGCUAAAGAGCCAUCCAUCCAAGAUCAUCUAUCUGAACUGCUGAAAACUGCCUCGGUACGGAUCUGUUGGAGCUUUGUGUCACUGACUGUAUUUCUGCAAAUUCCUGUUCCGUGUCACAUGGCUUAUGCAAGACUGAAUCCAUAAAGGGGAUGGUCUGUGGAGACUGUGGGCGAUUCCUUCUGCUGUCAUUUAAACAUGAGCAGAAGUAAUGACGGGAUUUAAAUGGACGCAGCUAAUAUUAUGCCAGAGUCCGCUGCUUAUGCUGUAACCAUAAAGUUACCAGGACAACACACCUGGAGUGACCGAGAGCAGGAUGAAGAAAGAAUCGGACAAGAAAAUAUCAACUGGUGCCCAUGAGGAGACAUAUUGUUCUUGGACCUGCUUUUUCUGUUUAGUAAUAAGUGGUUUUAUGUGGUUACAUAAAAGUAAUUUAAUAUUCAAUCCACAAGCUAAAUUUCCUACAUUUUCUUAAAAGGGUAGUUGACCCAAAAAAGGAAAAUUCUGUCAUUUACACAAACAGUUUGGUUACAAACAUUUCUCACAAUAUCUGCCUUCCUGUUUAUCAGAACAAAGAAAUUUAUGCGGGUUUGUAACAACAUGAGAGUGUGUAAAUGAUGACAUAAUUUUCAUUUUUGGGUGAAGUACCCCUUUAACAUUUUUAUACCCAGGGGUAGGGGUGUGCAGCGGAGUCAGCAUUUGUAUCUGUAACAGUCUCAAAAUUAUUUGUAUCUGUAUUUGUAUUCGGAUUAAACCGGAAGUGGGUGGGUUGACAACUCAUAUUACAUUAAAAUGGCAUUUUAAAUGCAUUUUUGCUUUUUAUUAUAAUUAUAACUUAAAUAACUGUAAAUAUUUGUUCAAAAUAAUAAUACAAAAUUUUAAUCAAAAAGACAAAUAACUUGAUUCUCGUAAGUAAUACUCAUGGAAAGCAAACAACUCAUUUUUAAAGCCUCAUACAGCUUGUGCUAUGCAUCAUUGUAUUGUAGCAUUAAAAUAACAAACUUGAAAGCACGUUGACAAAACUGUAGGGUAGAUCACCUUUAAAUGUUUAUUGUGCCUGUCAGCACAGUUCCAUGAGACCCAUUCUUUCUAAAUAAGUGCGAUGUUUUCAGAAAAAAAUAA
This is a long non-coding RNA of Paramisgurnus dabryanus, 1229 nucleotides long. RefSeq lists it as uncharacterized. The record is from RefSeq and is a predicted model, not a curated record. NCBI's taxonomy places the organism in Eukaryota, Metazoa, Chordata, Actinopteri, Cypriniformes, Cobitidae.